GUUUGUAUGAGAAACUACAUUAUUUAAAUAGAAAGAUGAAGUUAGUAAGAUACGACCUUACUUGAACAGGAUCUGUUCUAUAGGUUGUACAACUGUGUCCUUGAGUUCUAAGGAGAUAAGAAUCAAAGUCUGGUGGAUGAAUUAUUUGCCUUGUAACUAGAGCGUGAGUAACUGCCAAUGAACCUUGGCUUCAGUGGCUGUAGAUGAUCGUUCUCAGCAGGCUCCAACCUACUGGGAUUGGUUACAAGGUGAUCUGACAGACUUCAAAUAAUUUUUCCUCCUCUGUAUUCAAAUUAGAUGUUGGUAAAUCUUAUUUCACAAGAUGGUGUGAUCCAAAAAAGAAGGUCCAGUUGUGCUUUAUUAUCGCAUUGAUGGUGUUUCUAGGUGGAAGAAGCAACAAAUUUCAAGACCACUUCUUUGUUACUCAUGAUUUGUGGUGCAUUCUCUUUAUAUGUCCUUGUGCAUUCUCGUUUUUUAUUGGACUAUAUAUGAAGGAAAGAAAGCAUCUAUAAUUCCCAAUCGAUUAGAGCCUCCUUUAGGUUGACUUGGAUUAAGAGAAACAACGGCUUACUUGACAACACCAUUGUUUUUUAUAGAUUUUUUUUCAACUUCACCAAUCUAUUAAGUCUUAACCAAUGAAUCUCAGAAGUACACCAACGUCUUAACCAAUGUAUCUAAAGGCUUAAGUGCAGAUCUUAUACAACAGUAAAAUGUUUGAGUUGUUUGUCUUGUAUUUUCCAUAAUGAAGUUCCAUUAAUCACAAGUUUUUCAACAAGGCUCUGUCUGAUUUCCUCUUGGCAUUGGGUUUUGGACUGAGAAAGGCUAGAAAGUAUACAUUCAGCACAUGUUCAGCUUUGCACUUGUUUGUAUUGGCUAUGUUUCAGUUAUUUCAUUUAUCCAAAGUUGGUCGUAUUAUACCAGAAUAUGUAGUAUGAUUAUGUGUAAUUAGUCAGCCAGCUGUGAGUUUUGUUGACCCCCAUGAAUAUUUAUACAUUUCAUUCAUGGAGAAUUCAAUCGAAUGACGUUUUCUCUGCCGCACAAUUUCUAUGGCAAAUUAAACUGUAGUGAAAGCUCCUUCUACACGUUCAACAACUUCAUCUCAAUGUCAUAACUUAAUGUUCUUUAAACACAGUUUCAAGCAGCCAAAUCUGUGGCUAGGACUUGUUCGACAUAUAAGGUAGGUACAUGAUAUAGUUCUCCCUUGCCUGUAUACUUGUCUGGGUGGUAAAUUAUUGAUUUUGGUGCUUCCAUGCACAUUUGUUUAUUUGAAGGAGUUAUUUGAGCCAUUAUCUUAUUUUCAACUUCUGUUAUUUUGCUGAUCGGCGCAGUUCCUGAGUGCAUUAUGUUGGCACUAUUUGAUUAUUAAAUUUGUUAUAUUUUCAGGAGGUUCUAUUGUUACCCAGUUUCAGUAUAAUUUGCUUUCUGUUAGUAAAUUAACCAAGGACACAUCUAUUAUUCUUCAAUUUCUUGGUUACAGGACAAGUGGUGCAGCUUGAGGAUAAUUGGGAAUGGUUGUUUGAACCAUGGCUUGUUCUUACUUGAUGUUUCAGUUACUGGAUGAGUUUCUGUUGUUUCUCCUAAUAAAUUAUGUGUUCUAUUGUUCUGCUCUAUAGCAUAGUUGUCAUCUUCACCUUUCUUAUUGUUCUCUGAACUCCUUGAAAUGAACUUUGAAUUUGGUUCUUCAACAGAACAUUGUGAUGGUCGUUGUCUUGUUUGUUCUCUUGCUAAAAAACGGAGAAUGUCAUUCAUAUCAAACAACCAUUAUUCUGCGAGUUGGACCUUCUUUUUUGGAUCACACUAUCUUAUGAAAUAAGAUUUACAACAUUCAAGUCGAGUACCUGUACGAUCAAUCAUCGCUUCAAUCACUUGAACAUUUAAAAGGCCUACCAUUUAGAUAGACAAAGAGGUAACAUAUCAAAGAUUGAAAAUUUGAAAUAGAUGCAUCCAAAAACAAAGCUACCCAAACCUUUAGUAAUAUCUCCUUAGAAGAAGAAUGGAAAAGAAACUAAAAGACUCCAACAGACAACAUUCUUGCGGUGAAUUUGAGCUUAGCUGCAGCAAUUGUAAAACAAAAGGACAAAGUAACCAUAUAAGCAUCAGUAAAACGGUUAGCCUCAGGUUUCAGAGACAUAUCAUCCAACACCUUACGAGCAUAAACCAAAUACCCACGAUCGUAUUAAACCCCGUCUUUUUAAUCUCAAACCACCAUAGCAGUAUUACAAAUUCAAACCCAUUCAAGAAUUUAGCUAUAUCAUAUGCAUUUGUGAUUUGGGCUUUCGGAUUUGCAUGAAAUCGGUGACUUGGGUUUUUUGAUUCACAUGAAGUUGGUGGUUGAGGUUUUUGAUUUAGGGCUCGACAUCAUUUGGUGGGUUUGGGUGUAGGAUCUGAGUGAUAGAAGUUUUACAAAUAGCAAGGCGAUAGGGUAAAUGGAAGAAAAUGACUUAACGAAGAAAUAAAACUAAGAACAGAGAGUGAGAUAUGAAGAGCGAGACACUGAGAGAAAGCAAGACAAUAAGAAGAAGAGGAUGACAUACAAGAGAAUUUAAGAUUAUAGAGCGAGAGCGAGUAUCUAAGAGUGAGAUAGAUAGAUAUACUAUUAAGACCAGAGAGAGUAAAAAGACUUUGACUACUUACUUUAUUUCCUUUGGUUUAGCUAAUGAGACAAAUUGUUUUGUAUAUGCAGAUCUACGAUGUCAACAAGUUUAAAGAUAUCUGAGUGUGAUUGCUUUCCUGGCCAAGUAUCGAGCGGACAAGAUUGCCAAGGACAAGCUUACCACCAAGCAGCUUGAGAUGUUCAGGAGAACAAUCUGGGCAGUUUGCGGACAACAACUUUGUUUUCAACAAUCUCGUUGUCCAUCACAUGUUGCUAAGAUAAGUUAAGGCCUAGAAAGCGAAUGCUAUGAGCUUCUCCAUAAAGGGUGCAAUUGUUAUAUUUUCGAAGGACCAGUUUCUGUCGAGGACUAGUUUGUGGUUGGCCCUCGCUCAAGUGGUUUGAACUAAGGAAGCUUCUUAAGAAUUAGAGAGGAAAUAUUUAAGUAAUAGGUAUAGGUCUAACCCAUUCCACAUCAAUGUUUUGGAAAAACAAUAAAAGCAGUUGGAGUUUCAGAAUAAUGACGAUGUGGUGAAGAUUAUCUUAAUGUAUUACAUCGAGGUUGUAAUGAUGGAGAAGAUUAAAUAGAAGAGUGCAGUUGAUCGAGAACUCUUUGAGACUAUAGAGGGCCUAGAAUACUAUAACAACAUGGAUUGGGGAAACAUUAUUUGGGAGAGGACACUAGAGGAUCUUCAGACUGCAUUGAAAGACAAAGUUGGGAUCUAGAAAAAGAAAGUCAAAUCAAACAAAUACUUCAUUGAGAAGUACUCUCUUCGUUGGUUUCCUCAAGCUAGGUACCACAUGUUGUAUUUUUCUUAUUUUUUGGUAUAAUGACCCUUAACUUUGAAUAUAUAUAUAUGUCAUUUUUAGGUA
Non-coding RNA from Benincasa hispida (wax gourd), 3463 nucleotides. The record is from RefSeq and is a predicted model, not a curated record. Lineage: Eukaryota; Viridiplantae; Streptophyta; Magnoliopsida; Cucurbitales; Cucurbitaceae.